AUGAAUUGCAUUUGCUAGAACUGUCGGGGUAUAGGCAACGCCCCAACGGUUCAAGAGCUUUGCAAGAUAGCGCUAAAGUUUAUCCCUAAAGUGCUAUGUAUAGUCAAAACUCAGAUUGGUAGAGUUAGGGCAGCAAAUCUUGCUAGCACCUUAGGUUAUGAUUGCUCUUAUGCUAUUGAUGCCACCAAAAGGAGUGGUGGUCUUGCUAUAUUCUGA
RNAcentral lists this ribosomal RNA (216 nucleotides) under Triticum aestivum (bread wheat). Its description in RNAcentral is "partial small subunit ribosomal RNA". Lineage: Eukaryota; Viridiplantae; Streptophyta; Magnoliopsida; Poales; Poaceae. The record is from RNAcentral.